AACGAACGCUGGCGGCAUGCCUAACACAUGCAAGUCGAACGACAGCUCCGUGUCUGCUUGCGCACGGGGGCGUAACGCGGCGGAACCUGCCCUUAGGCUUCGAAUAACUCCCCUUAAGGGGGGCUAAUACCGGAUAAUUUACUCUGACCAAAGAUUUGUCGCCCUUGGAAGGGCCCGCGUUGGUUUAGCCAGGUGGUAGUGUAAAAGCCUACCAAGGCGUCGCUACAUAGCUGGGCUGAGAGGCUGAUCAGCCACACUGGGGCGGAGACACGGCCCGGAAUCUUGCGGGAUGCAGCAGUGGGGAAUCUUGGACAAUCGGCGAAAGCAUGAUCGAGCACUGCCGCGUGAGUGAUGAAGGUGUUAGGGUUGUAAAGCUCUUUUACCCGGGAUGAUAAUGACAGUACCGGGAGAAUAAGCACCGGCUAACUCCGUG
Molecule: ribosomal RNA, 433 nt
Filed under: uncultured bacterium
Lineage: Bacteria
Description: partial 16S ribosomal RNA
Rfam family: Bacterial small subunit ribosomal RNA
Source: RNAcentral